GAGGAUCUUACGUUCUUAAUGAAUCAUUGAGGUGUUUUCCAAAUCAUUUAUUUAAAAGGAUUUCAGUUAUCUUGAGUAUAUUCAUUUAUCCUAAUUAUCUUUUCGGAUUACAUUUUCUUUGCAUCUUCUGGAGUUAAUUCUACAUUAUAAUUUUCCGUCACAUUACCAAUAAGCAGUUUAUUCGCAUGAUGAAGGCUUGUAACAAGAGGAUGUUACUGCUUGUUUUUAUUUUGUUACUGGUGGCAUUCCUGAUGAUUGUUAUUGCAUUUUCAACUCCAUAUUUUAUCGAAAUAAACAAUGAAACAUGCUAUUCUGGAAGUAACUGCAUCAUAUAUAGAACUGAUCAUGCUGGUUUAUGGAAGUACUGCAAAACUUUAUCUGGCAGCACGACAUGCAUAAACACAGAAAUCGAAAUAGACUUACCAUAUGUGAAGGUAUGUCAAGGGAUGUCAAUAAUGGGUUUAAUCUACGGCAUAGUUGGUAUGGUAUCCACAUGUUUGAGGCUGUUCUGUUUCCAGGAGAAAAAAAUAUGGCUAAUUAUUGCUAUCAUAACAACAUUUGCUUUUGCUAUUUUCAUUCUUGUACCAAUUGGACUGUUCCUAAUCUAUGCCAGUGUGUUUGUUGAUCUUGGAAGCAGGUCCAAAGUAGGCUACUCAUUCAUUUUAUGUGUAACAGGAGAAAUCAAUGCUGUAAUUUCUAGUAUCGUUAUGAUUACAGACUGCAAGAAGAAAUAGUCGGCAUUUGGAUAACUAAUGGAACGGACACACUACGCGGAGAAGUGCAAUUAAAGGGAGCAAACAGUUACACUUUGUUAAUCAUAACUGCUUAAUAAACUGUCUUUACAUCUAGGAUAAACUGAAUGUAUGCAUUUUGGACCUCCAAAAAAAGAUUAGACAAAAUAUUAAUUUUCAGGUCAAAUGUAAUGAUCACCUUAUCAAAUCGACAAAUUGUGUCAAAAUAUUUAGGAGUUCACAUUGAUAUUUUUUUAAAUUGUGAACAAAUAGUUUCCAAUGUCAUAAAAAAAGUUAAUGCAAGAUUAAGUUCUUAUAUAGAAAUGCCAAAUGUUUGGAUACUAGAUCAAGGAUGACUCUCACAUCUGCUCUGAUACAAUGCUAUUUCGAUUAUUCUUGCUCUUCGUGGUAUAGUAGUUUGGGCAAAGGGAUGACAAAAAGAUUGCAAGUUGUACAGAAUAAGGUGGUGAGAUUCAUCCUAGGUCUAGGUCCAAGGACUAGAAUUACAUAUGAUAUUUUAGAUAAAGUUGAUAUGCUAUAUGUAAAAGAUAGAGUUAGUCAACUUAGAUUAAACCAAGUAUUCAAUAUAUGUUAUGGACAUGCUCCAGAGUAUUUAUGUAAACAUUUUGACUUGAAUAAUCAUAAUACCAGAAGUGCUGCACAUGAUAAUUAUUUUGUACCAAAUGUUAAAAACUGUAAUAAAAACAGCUUUGUUUAUAAUACUAUACAAGACUGGGACAAUCUACCAGCCAACAUAAAAAAUAUAUCAAAUAGAUCUGCUUUAAAGACUGCAGUUAAAGAACAAUUGAAAAUAACAGCAAGAAACAUAGAAAAUGGAGAUGUUUUAUAUGUUUUUUUAAGAAACAAUUUUUUUUUUUAUUUUGGUGAAAGUCAAAUUCUAACAUAUGAUUUGAAAUAUUAUUUUUAUAUAUUUUCAAACAAGGGACCCCAUUGGAAAUAAGCUAUACUAUGUUAGUUUUUAUGGGAUAUCCCAGGCUUCUUUACGAUACUAUUUUAAAAGUAUUUAUAUAUAUAUAUAUAUAUAUUAUUAAUACUGUUUUGUCUUGUGAAUUUUUAUAAAUAUGCUUGAAUUUGCCGGAAUAAAACUAUACUAUACUA
Long non-coding RNA from Mytilus californianus (California mussel), 1850 nucleotides. RefSeq lists it as uncharacterized. Lineage: Eukaryota; Metazoa; Mollusca; Bivalvia; Mytilida; Mytilidae. The transcript is spliced from 4 exons. The record is from RefSeq and is a predicted model, not a curated record.